CAGCUCUGUCUCUACUCAUUUGAUAUUGGAAAUAUUGUGUCGAUGAUCACAAAUGAGUUUAGUCAUGGGCAUGGAUACGUUCAUGUGCACAACACUGUAUUAACACUUUUUUUUCUGCUGAAAAACACUUGCUUAAGAAAAUAUACAUACAAUGGCACUUUUCAACUUCCGUUGCUUUCCUUUAAUUGUUUCAGUUAAGAAUUUUCCAAUAAAUCCAAUUCCGCUUUAUUGGAAGGCAUACUCUUAUAUUUCCUUAUGCCGGGGUUUGCUUAACAUCGGUUUUAGGUUGGAGCUUAUUGAGCAACCAAUAACCAUGCUUGGAAAUAGUGAUGAACUUCAGGAUCUUACCUUAUUUGCUGGCUCUAGGGAUGGCAGUUUUCAUUCAGUCUCAUAUUUCGAUUGCAGCUGUAAGGGAGACGAUUGUUGCACAAUCAGGAUAAGAUCUCUCCAAUGAGUUAUGUGGUCUCUACAGCAUCAAAUAUGAAGGGUGGCGGCUCGAUUAUUUUCUCGUUUCAGAAUCUAUAGCAGACAAAGUUCAUGACUCAUACAUCCUUCCUGAUAUCACCGGUAGUGAUCAUAGUCCUAUUGGCCUGAUUCUCAAGCUUUAGUUCUGUCAUCUCUUUGGGGAUCUUGGUGAAUGGAUUCUGCGAAGGUAGUCCGGCAGCAUCAUCCUAGAUGUUGUUUGCUGAAAAGUAUUGAGCUUUUAUUGUCAUUGUCAUUCAUGUUGAAGCCACUAGCAAGGGAAAGUUUUUUUGAUGAAAUUUGCUUAGCAAAGGGGGGAAAGAAAAGAAGGACGAGACGAGGGGGCUGACUGUAUUUACUUUGUCUGGGCCCUGUGGAGUGAUCUGGGUUUUUCUAGGUUAUUUUACAAGGUAUCUUUUGGAGGAAGAGUUAUGAUGGAACAUUGAAAUCACUUUCUAAAAAAUCUGUGCAAGUUUUUGAACAUACAUUCUGAUGCUGAAGUCGGUAGCGGAAAAAUGCUGAAAUGCUGAGUGCAAAUUGUAGGUACAACCGCUCUGGUUCGCAAUUCAAUCUGAUUAUCUGGUGGAUUUUUUUUUUUUUUUAAAAGGAAGCCUGGAAAGACAGUUGUCUACAACCGUCUGCUGCUCAGUCUUUUAAGGACUAAGGCUGGGUGUACAAUGACUUAUCAUGCUUGCGUCUUGUUUUUAGGGAACCUCAAAGGAGCACAUAUCCGCAAUGUCAUUUUUGGCUCUUGAAUUUUGUACAUGAACGUGGUAGACCUGAAGAUGAUGAUGUUCCCAUAAUUAGGUGCGAAAAUGUUGGCAAUGUUUUAGACAAAUGUAAUUAGCGAGUUUCAUUUAUUUAUGGAAAUC
This is a long non-coding RNA of Eucalyptus grandis, 1334 nucleotides long. RefSeq lists it as uncharacterized. The transcript is spliced from 3 exons. The record is from RefSeq and is a predicted model, not a curated record. Lineage: Eukaryota; Viridiplantae; Streptophyta; Magnoliopsida; Myrtales; Myrtaceae.